Molecule: ribosomal RNA, 291 nt
Filed under: uncultured eukaryote
Lineage: Eukaryota
Description: partial 18S ribosomal RNA
Rfam family: Eukaryotic small subunit ribosomal RNA
Source: RNAcentral
GGUUGAUCCUGCCAGUAGUCAUAUGCUUGUCCUAAAGAUUAAGCCAUGCAUGUGUACGUUCAAGCCCUUGUACGGUGAAACUGCGGAUGGCUCAUUAUAUCAGUGAUAAUUUGGUUGAUGGAGAGAUAUCGUGGAUAACCGUGGUAAUUCUAUGGCUAAUACAUGUGGAGCAGACGCAAGUCUGGCAUUUAUUAGAUAAAGCCUUGGCGGGGGGUUUCGGCCCAGCGCUGCGGUGAGAGAUGAUAACUGGGCGGAUCGCGCGGUGCGCGACGCAUCAAGGAAAUUUCUGCC